This 85-nucleotide ribosomal RNA is filed under the name uncultured bacterium. Its description in RNAcentral is "partial 16S ribosomal RNA". The record is from RNAcentral.
CUCCUGUCAUUUGAGAACAAGUGCCGGCAAGUAACUACUGCCGGCUUGAUAGUAUCAGAAGAGGAAGGGACGGCUAACUCUGUGC